RNAcentral lists this ribosomal RNA (478 nucleotides) under uncultured bacterium. RNAcentral's name for it is "partial 16S ribosomal RNA". It matches the Rfam family "Bacterial small subunit ribosomal RNA", at positions 28 to 523 of the family's 1533-position model. The record is from RNAcentral.
GACGAACGCUGGCGGCGUGCUUAACACAUGCAAGUCGAACGGUAAGGCCCUUCGGGGUACGCGAGUGGCGAACGGGUGAGUAACACGUGGGUGAUCUGCCCUGCACUUCGGGAUAAGCCUGGGAAACUGGGUCUAAUACCGGAUAGGACCACUGCCUGCAUGGGUGGUGGUGGAAAGCUUUUGCGGUGUGGGAUGGGCCCGCGGCCUAUCAGCUUGUUGGUGGGGUGAUGGCCUACCAAGGCGACGACGGGUAGCCGGCCGGAGAGGGGGACCGGCCACGCUGGGACUGAGAUACGGCCCAGACUCCUACGGGAGGCAGCAGUGGGGAAUAUUGCACAAUGGGCGCAAGCCUGAUGCAGCGACGCCGCGUGAGGGAUGACGGCCUUCGGGUUGUAAACCUCUUUCAGCACCGACGAAGCGCAAGUGACGGUAGGUGCAGAAGAAGGACCGGCCAACUACGUGCCAGCAGCCGCCGUAA